GCCGGGCUCUUCUCUUUUUAAUGCCUUCAAGUUGUAGCACUUAUAAUACUAUUGUAGACAGCUUCCCAAUCUAAUGUUGAGCAUGUGCAUAAUUUAAGGUCACUCGAUGGGCAACACGGAGAACUUCACAUCUCAAAUUCUUGUCCUAGAGCCAGCGAAAACCUCCCCAUCGGCUAGCUCCACUGUAUUGGUGCAUCUUUUUAAAAUUGCAUCACUCUCAAAUCUUAUCAACUAAUUCCAUCAAAACUUUCAGAGGUAUUAAUUGAUGCUGUAGUGCUAUGUAAGAAAUGAACAGUUGUGAACUUUCACAGAUGGAUGUAAACAAUUAGUUGUUUAAAUUUCAAAUCAGAGUGACUAAUUAGUCUACUUAAAUUCAGAGGACUGCUUAUUCUCUGAACACAUCAACAUGUUGCUGCCAGGAACCUGGACUGCUCCAUGACCAUAACGGUCACUCAAGGAUCCAAAUUCUGAUUCAUCAUCAUCACUAUCAAUAUGUUUUG
RNAcentral lists this unclassified non-coding RNA (500 nucleotides) under Hevea brasiliensis (rubber tree). Lineage: Eukaryota; Viridiplantae; Streptophyta; Magnoliopsida; Malpighiales; Euphorbiaceae. The record is from RNAcentral.